CACUUAAAGUGCGUCGUAGUCCGGAUUGGAGUCUGCAACUCGACUCCAUGAAGUCGGAAUCGCUAGUAAUCGCAUAUCAGAAUGAUGCGGUGAAUACGUUCCCGGGCCUUGUACACACCGCCCGUCACACCAUGGGAGUGGGUUGCUCCAGAAGUAGAUAGUCUAACCCUCGGGAGGACGUUUACCACGGAGUGAUUCAUGACUGGGGUGAAGUCGUAACAAGGUAGCCCUAGGGGAACCUGGGGCUGGAUCACCUCCUUAUACGA
Molecule: ribosomal RNA, 266 nt
Filed under: Pseudoalteromonas agarivorans
Lineage: Bacteria; Pseudomonadati; Pseudomonadota; Gammaproteobacteria; Alteromonadales; Pseudoalteromonadaceae
Description: partial 16S ribosomal RNA
Rfam family: Bacterial small subunit ribosomal RNA
Source: RNAcentral